AUUGAACGCUGGCGGCAUGCUUUACACAUGCAAGUCGAACGGUAACAGGCCUUCGGGUGCUGACGAGUGGCGAACGGGUGAGUAAUGCAUCGGAACGUACCCAGAGGUGGGGGAUAACGCAGCGAAAGCUGUGCUAAUACCGCAUGUGAUCUGAGGAUGAAAGCGGGGGACCGAGCAGCAAUGUUUGGCCUCGCGCCUUUGGAGCGGCCGAUGUCGGAUUAGCUAGUUGGUGGGGUAAAGGCCUACCAAGGCGACGAUCCGUAGCUGGUCUGAGAGGACGACCAGCCACACUGGGACUGAGACACGGCCCAGACUCCUACGGGAGGCAGCAGUGGGGAAUUUUGGACAAUGGGCGCAAGCCUGAUCCAGCAAUGCCGCGUGCGGGAAGAAGGCCUUCGGGUUGGAAACCGAUUUUGGCAGGAACGAAACGGUGUCCGCUAAUACCGGGCGCUAAUGACGGUACCUGCAGAAUAAGCACCGGCUAACUACGUG
This 492-nucleotide ribosomal RNA is filed under the name uncultured bacterium. Its description in RNAcentral is "partial 16S ribosomal RNA". It matches the Rfam family "Bacterial small subunit ribosomal RNA", at positions 29 to 507 of the family's 1533-position model. The record is from RNAcentral.